UACGUAGGGGGCAAGCGUUGUCCGGAACCAUUGGGCGUAAAGAGCGUGUAGGCGGCUCGGUAAGUCCGCUGUGAAAGUCCAGGGCUCAACCCUGGAAUGCCGGUGGAAACUGUCGAGCUAGAGUCCGGAAGAGGCGAGUGGAAUUCCUGGUGUAGCGGUGAAAUGCGCAGAUAUCAGGAGGAACACCAAUAGCGAAGGCAGCUCGCUGGGACGUUACUGACACUGAGGCGCGAAAGCGUGGGGAGCGAACAGG
This 253-nucleotide ribosomal RNA is filed under the name uncultured bacterium. Its description in RNAcentral is "partial 16S ribosomal RNA". It matches the Rfam family "Bacterial small subunit ribosomal RNA", at positions 524 to 776 of the family's 1533-position model. The record is from RNAcentral.